UGGCGACCGGCGCACGGGUGAGUAACGCGUAUGCAACUUACCUAUCAGAGGGGGAUAGCCCGGCGAAAGUCGGAUUAAUACCCCAUGAAACAGGGGUCCCGCAUGGGGAUACUUGUUAAAGAUUCAUCGCUGAUAGAUAGGCAUGCGUUCCAUUAGGCAGUUGGCGGGGUAACGGCCCACCAAACCGACGAUGGAUAGGGGUUCUGAGAGGAAGGUCCCCCACAUUGGUACUGAGACACGGACCAA
Molecule: ribosomal RNA, 246 nt
Filed under: uncultured bacterium
Lineage: Bacteria
Description: partial 16S ribosomal RNA
Rfam family: Bacterial small subunit ribosomal RNA
Source: RNAcentral